UAAACCCUCCUUUCAUUUUAUCCGUCUUCCGUUACAGAAAUAAAUACUCUCUUCCGUUGAACAAAUAAAUUAGGGCUUUUCUUCUGAUUGAAAGGGAAGAGAAGCUACAAAUUGAUAAAUGGCUGAUCGAAAACAAAAUGUCGAUUGGAGAUUCUGAGUACAACACCAUCUUUGGUUAUUAGUUGUGCUAUUUUUAUAGCCGAUUGGAGAUUCUGAGUACAACACCAUCUUUGGUUAUUAGUUGUGCUAUAUUUAUAGCCGAUUGGAGAUUCUGAGUACAACCAGUGUCACUAUUCUCUUCUACUUUUAUCUGAUGAAGAAGCUGACAAAAUUGUUUCCGUGAUGGAUUAGUUAGUGAAGAUCAAGAGAAAAAGUCUCUGAAAGCAUUCGUAAAGGCAUCAAAGGUUUACCGAACCUCCUUUGCUGGGAUGGAUGUUGAAUAUGCUGACCAUCUGAUAGAGAUACGGUCGCAAUGAAACAGCUAUGGAAUUUUUUACCGAACCUCAUUGCGAUCAUAAAAUUAAAUAAUCUCUUUAAUUUUCAAAGAUCGGCAAUCUCUUCAAUUAUAUAAAUUGUUAUGUUGGUAUUUUAGUUGGACAAAAACCAUUUGCUUUAGCAAUCCUCUGAUGUAAGUAUUUGACAAAUACUGUAUUUUGAAUUACUAACCUGCUAAAUUGGUUACUACUGUAUAUAACUCAAAAGAGGAUGGGAACAGAUCGCAGGGGCUUAUAUUAGGGGCUCUUCCCUAUGCAGCUGUAUGAAAGUGCUUAGAUUGACUCAAAAUAUGGGGCCAGAAAAUGUGGAAUUUGCGGAGUUCUUGCUAAAGGUAUGAAGAUUGUGUUCUGCAUUUUUAUAUACCAGAAUCAUUGCAUAGAAAUUGGGAGAUCAUUCAAUUAUUUGAUACUGAGCAUAAUUCACUCACAGAAAAAUCCAUAUGAUAUUGAACAUACUCAUCCUUCACUAGCUUAGUAUACUAAUCCAUAAGGGCCUUCUGACACUUGCCUGUAAAUAAAUGCUAUGUCGAAACUCUAUGGAUUAGCAUAAGCAAUUUAGUAUACUAUUAAACAUCAUUUGAACUUGAUGCACCACCUAAUCUUUCCCAGCAUACUCUCAUCAGUUUAAUUACCACCGAAGUUCCCUAAGCAACCUGUUGCUAUUAAUCUCAUAAAUUUUGAAAACAAAACUCUUGAUAUAGGAUGUUGUAAUUGUGUAUUUCAGAUUAUUCUUAGUCACACGUUUGGCAUUUUUGUUUGUUAUUCUUUGUUGUGAUCUUUUUUCAUUAUCCUUUGUUGUUAUUUUAAAAUUGCGGCCUCUUCCAAUGUUAGUAGGCUUGAGCCGCUUGACUACUUCACUUCGGAUUUUAGGUUGGGUUGUCGCAGCAUCCAUGAGCAGAUACAAUGGUUGCGAGAAACAUAAAAAGAAUCACUACAUUACAUUUUCAGCUGAAUUAAAUUUGAAAUAUUCUCAAUCCUUUUCUCUCAUUGAAACUUUAUGGAAUGCAAAAUGUACCCAAAAUAGAUGACGGCCAAGGUGAAAAGUCUACCUGUAGUAUAGAUUGCAUAUCAUGUGAACUCGAACUUAAACACCAUUAGUGGGAAAUCGCAAUCACCUCAAAUAUAAAUACCGAAAAUCUUAUCAGUGAAGGAUAAUAUAUUCACAGGAAUAGUUUCACAUUAUUGAUGAGUUUCACCCAAGGGGUGUCGGCAUUUUUCCAAUUUUUUAUCUGAUUGUGAUUUUUAUUUCAUUCACGUAUAUGCAUCGCCGAAACAUGUUUUUUAGCUCUUCCUUACAGCGAUACUUCUGCAAGAUUAACUUUGCAGCAUUUUUGUUUCAGUUAGCAACCUUGCUUGGUUUCAAGAAUGUAAGUCACAACUGAUCGUUCUUGAUUAUAUGAGGAACCAAAUAUGAAAUGUUCUUAGCUUUAGAUCUUAGAUACAUUGUUACUCUACAGAUAUUAGUUUACCUUGCGGGUAUCUGUGGAUUGAGUAUACAAUCGUUCUCAAUCAGGUCAGACACAUAAUAUUUUGCUACUCUUUGCUGCAGCCUUUUACCUUCCCUACGUUGGUGCUAUUACAAUCAUGCCCGAUAUUCAAAAGAUACUGUAGGACACGUUAAUUUUUCAGCUGCGUAUUUUCGUAUACCUAGACCUUUUGGGUAGCUGAUGCAGUUAAAAGUUUGACUGCUACGGAUAUUCAUUGGACACAUGGACACCAGCGGGGUUGGCCGGCGAGAAAGCAUAUUCGGAAUGUUUCUCCAUGAUUAAUAUGCGAUUUGAUGGUUACAUGAUUGUAUAAUGACCUUAUUAAAUAAGUAGGUAACAACUGUUUUUGCUUGGAAGUUCACACUAUCCAACUGCUACAAAUCUAUACUUUACCUUGAUUCACCCGCAAUACUAGAAAUCAGAGAGGCGUGACUUAUACCAUAUUAAUUUUUGCUUUUAUAAUGUUACAUUCAAUCCCAGUAACAAACUAAUUUGUGACUGCAGAUGCUGUCGAAUUACCGACUGCAACCCCGGGUCCCAACCCAACAAGGGAAAGGGCCUGUAGGCAUUUUGGGUUCCUAGAGCGUCUUUUGCCAAAAUGAAAAUUCAGGUACCCGGUAAUGUUGCAAGUCGGUGUUGUUACAUCCAGCUUUUGUUGAAUGAUUUCUGUGUCGAGUGUUCUAUCCGUGUAAAUAGGGAAAUAUUUUGCAAGGCUACCCCUACCAAAAUAUCGAUGUGCGAGGCUUCCCCUACCAAAAUUGUUGGCCACAACAGAUAUUAUCAUGUAUUGCAGAGACUGUAGUAAGAAAGUUGUGGGUGAUGACGGAGACCAUUGGUGUACCAAAUUUGUAAUAGAAGUUGGAGGUCUCAGGAACAAAACUCUGCCGCCUGUUGCACUUUGAAGUUGAAUAUUAAACAGCAUCCGACUUGCACAUGGUGGAGAGGUAAAAAAAGUUUGAGACAUCUUCGUGGUUUUAACCGUCUAUUAUGUGACUUAUUAUGAAGUUCACAAUGCGAGACAACACCAAGGCGAAGGCUUGCAUUUGAACCAAUCUUGAGUCCAGCGAUUGACCUCCAGAUAACAUUCAAUGCCUUUACUAUGGAGAAAAAACCAAUUCAGAGCUUUGCCAUCACCUGGAUCCCCAUGAUCUAAUAUACAGGCUUUCAAGAUUUUUUCACAAUUUUUUUUAAUAGUUUGGUAGUAUGAAGCCGCCCCCACCCCCCACAAAUUGUAUUCGGGUUUAUAUUUAAAAACAAAUGUAUUUGAGUGUGAAUUUCAGGUCUCUAUUUCAGACAACAAAUAAAAGAAAGACAUUAUAGGGC
Long non-coding RNA from Papaver somniferum (opium poppy), 3304 nucleotides. RefSeq lists it as uncharacterized. The transcript is spliced from 3 exons. NCBI's taxonomy places the organism in Eukaryota, Viridiplantae, Streptophyta, Magnoliopsida, Ranunculales, Papaveraceae. The record is from RefSeq and is a predicted model, not a curated record.